This is a long non-coding RNA of Neofelis nebulosa (Clouded leopard), 1336 nucleotides long. RefSeq lists it as uncharacterized. Lineage: Eukaryota; Metazoa; Chordata; Mammalia; Carnivora; Felidae. The record is from RefSeq and is a predicted model, not a curated record. The transcript has 2 exons.
UUUUAUACAUUUCAGUUUACUCCAUAUUAACAACUAUUCAUCAUGCUUUUUUCAAAACACAUGACAACAUCAACAUUUUUCCUGUCAACAGUUUGCAUUAAUUUCAAUGUCUGUGUAAUACUCCAUGACACGGAUACGCUAUAACCAUUUUGCUAUUAUACAUUUCUAUAUUGCAAAGUUUGCACUAUCAUAAGCAAUGUUUAGUUAGUUUAGACCAUCCGUAGACAUUUCUCUCUUCCUACAUUCCUUGGUGUGUUAAUAACAGUAGUAGUAGCUAACACAUUUAGUACUUGUGGGCCAGGCACUGUUUUAAAUACUUUAUACACAUUAUCUCACUUAAUCCACACAACAACCCUCUGAGGUAGAUACUAGAAAUAACUCCAUUAUACAGUGGAGGAAAAUUGAGCCAUAGGUUAUCAGAAACUCUAAGAGGCCCGGUUAAGGGACCACUCUUCGACUCCCAUUAAGAACCACUGCUUACCAUGAAAACGAUUUCUGAUAGGAGUACAUUAUACAUGCGAAUGAUAUAUAUAUGCACUGAAGAACGGAGCACUAAUUGAGGAACCCAGGAUCUAGUUCUUGGUCUGACUUCACUCAAAAUGUGAGACCAGUGCCAACUCACUUGAUCUCAACUGUACAAUGAAGAUUACACGUUAGGUACUCGCUUCGGCAGCACAUAUACUAAAACUGGAACGAAGAUUACAUGUUAGAUGGUCUCCUGCUCCUUGUGAAGUCUCAUGACUCUUGACAGUCAUUUCUAGAUUUUUCCUGGGAGAGAGACAUCAAGAUCUUUGUCCUCCUGGUCUCAAAAAUACUUAUCACUCAACAAUCAAUCAUUAAGCAUCUAAAAUAUAUUUUGUUUGCUAGAAAAUGGCAAAUAAUGGCUAGUCCUUCACAGAGAUCCAUUUAUAGAAUGAAACAGAGAGUUAGAACAGGUUCUCUUUCUGAAUCUUUUUUGGGUCAUGAACUUACCACAGAAUCUGAAGAUCAGGCUUCUCUCCCUAGAAGAGAAAACUUCUGUACAAACAAGAUGAUUUUGCAUACAAUAUUAAAAGUUGUUUACCGAUCCUCAGAAGUGAGUCGAUACACCCACUACGGGUAGUGAUUUCCUCAGGCUGAGAAGUGCUGAUGUAGGAACUCUCAUUGACUUAUCUUUCUGAAGUAUCAUUCUGACUGACAUCUUUUUGAAGAAGGCAAUGAAGCUGGAUAAUCUCCCACCUACUUAAUGGUUCCUUCUCAGAUUCUAGCAUUUUAAGGCUCGGUCAAGAAUGCUCCAAGGACAACUGCUUUUAUAGGAACUUGUGGAAAGAAAAGCUGAUGUGUUUUUGUACUACAA